This 2575-nucleotide long non-coding RNA is filed under the name Capsicum annuum. RNAcentral describes it as "long non-coding RNA (CANN_LNC018422)". Lineage: Eukaryota; Viridiplantae; Streptophyta; Magnoliopsida; Solanales; Solanaceae. The record is from RNAcentral.
AUAGGGAUCACGCUUUGUGGAUCAUCAGAGUACCCCUCCUUGAUUGCAACACUUCUCCGGACACUUUCUACAGCAGCUAAAACUAAAACUGCCAGGAAAGAAAGAAAUAAACCAAACCCCAUUCUCUGUUUCGUGCUGAAGUGAACAGGUUUUCCAGUCACUUUCGAUGCUAGGGGAAGAAUCACUGUACCAUAGAGGACAAGCCAAAUAAUAGCAGAGAUGACACCGAAGAGGCCAAAGGAAGCAGCAGGGAUUUCGAAGCUUGAACCAAUAUGUCGAUCCAUGGAAGUUGCUUGAAGUACUGGAAAAGAGUUAUGGCUAUGUAUGGUCGACACAACUCCUGUCGACCAGAUUGGAACAACUUUGAGCAAUGCUUUCAGCUCCUCUACUUGAUCUACGGUGCACAGACACCAAGGAUCUAUUGCUUCUCCAUCUGGGCUCAAAUCUAGCUCAGGAUCUUGUACAAUGCAAGCUUUAUUCAGAAAAUUGUUGGGGUAUUUAUUGAUGUUUAAAAAUAAGUGAAUCAUUGAAUUUUUUUUUCAAAUUUACUCUUAUGAUUUAACAACCAAUUAAUUUUUGAAAAGGUAUUAUAAGGUCAACUUUUUAUUUUUGAGGUAAAAAUGGAAAGUUGUGUUAAAUUUAUGUCUUUAAUGCUUUUACCUUAAUAUAUGUGCCAAAAUCUAAAAAUUUAUUUAUUAUGAAACAGAAAAAGUAUUUAAUAAUAUAAUAUUAUUUAUACCACCUCUUAUAUGAUUAAAUUAAUUUAUGAAUUAUAAUACCAAAAUUAUAAUUCUGAAAUAAUUUAAUCUACGGAAUAAUAUGUUUUAGCAACAGCUCAUACAAAAUCAUUACAAAAGUAAUCUCCAGAAGACUUAGGCCUCUAAUGGACAAAAUAGAUUGGUCCUUGUCAAGUUCGUUUCCUUUAGAAAUAGAUAAGGUGUAAAAGCUACAAUUGUCCAACAACAACAAUAAACUCAGUGUAUUCUGAUAAAAUGAGAUCUGAAGAGGGUAAGAUAUACGCAGUAGAGAGGUUGUUUCCGAUAGACCUCCAACUCAAGAUAAAGAAUAGUAAAUAGGGAGAUGGAUAACAUAAAAGAAAAUCAAAAAUAAGAAAUGAUAAAAAUAGUAAUCGUAGAAAUACGAAAUAUGAGAAAAUAUUGGCGACACGAAAUAAAAAAAAUAGAAACAAAGUAUUAAAUCAUUUUGGCAAAAAAGGAUAAAAUAGGUAAUCUAAUUUUGAAAAUUGACCUAGAGAAGAUAUUUGAUAAACUUGAAUGGUGAUUUAUUAGGUACACUCUUCAUUAAUUUUCCACCUAACUCAAUCAACCUCAUUAUGUCUUGCAUGUGCAUCCUUUUUCGUAUCGACCGAAAGGAAAGUGAGUCACUUAAAUUAGUACAGAGGGGUGUAUACUUUGGGGUACCAAAUCUAGCUCUGCCAAAUAUUCAGUUACGUAUUGACCUGGGAUACACACACAAAGUUGAAGAACAUAAAUGUCAUAUGAGAACAAGUUAAAGGCCACGUUUAUGUAUCAUGUCUUCAAUUUAAGUAGAUAAGAGUUUUACAUUCUAAUCUAAAACUAUUUUUGUAUUAGGCAUAUUACAUAAACAUACCUUGAACUUGGCCGCAACUAGCAUCAUGUCCUCCAUUUUUGGACGUUUAUAAGUAGUCACUUGUGUUUGUAUAAAAACACUCGCGUCCUAUAUGGCACCUACGUGAUGCCAUGCAUGUAAGACAGGUGUAUCUACUUGUUUAGCUUCUAUUCUUCAACAACAUAUCCAGUGAGUGACUACAACUUCAUUUAGAUAUAUUAGCAUCAGCCAUACUCAAUAGAAGAAAAAUAUACAUACAAAUAAGAACUUGAAUGAAUUGAUAUGAUACUAACUAUAAGUUAUUGGACCAAUUCAUGGCUUUUCUUCUUCCAUAACCUCUACCUCCUCUCCUUUACAAGGACCAUAAGCUCUACAGCAAACAAUAUAACAUAGUAUGUUUACUAGACAAACUCCUGCAUGAACCAAAUAAUAGUAGUCGUAAUGGCCCUUGUUUAUAUUGCUCGAUACCCAACUCUCUUGCCCGCCUCUUUUUGUCAACUCGUUUAUAGUAUUCAGUACGAAGCUAGCUAGUAAGCUUCCUACCGCGCCACCAACUCCUAUUAGAGCAGAAGCAACACUAGACAUGCUUUUAGGAAAUUCUGAUAUAUAAAAUUCAUUUUGGCUGGUGGCGAACAAGGCACCUGCAACGCCAGCAAUAAGAUACUGAGGAAGUAGCCAAACUGCUGACAUAGGGAUCACGCUUUGUGGAUCAUCAGAGUACCCCUCCUUGAUUGCAACACUUCUCCGGACACUUUCUACAGCAGCUAAAACUAAAACUGCCAGGAAAGAAAGAAAUAAACCAAACCCCAUUCUCUGUUUCGUGCUGAAGUGAACAGGUUUUCCAGUCACUUUCGAUGCUAGGGGAAGAAUCACUGUACCAUAGAGGACAAGCCAAAUAAUAGCAGAGAUGACACCGAAGAGGCCAAAGGAAGCAGCAGGGAUUUCGAAGCUUGAACCAAUAUGUCGAUCCAUGGAAGUUGCUUGA